CAAAAGUGGCCGGAUCUAGGAUGGAGACCUGAGGAACUAGGGAUGAUGUGACAAAUGCAUCUGUCUGACCUAAGAUGAAAUGGAGACAGAAAUAUGCAAACAGGCACAUUUUAAAACCGUGUUGGAAGAAGAUCAACAUGGGAAGACUUGUACAACCUGAGCCUGAGAUCUCUCAUACAACUAAAAUAUUCAAGAUAGUGAAAGAUUAGUGUAUGGACACUUAUUAAGAUCUGUCAAACAAAUGUGGAAUCCAGAAAUAGACAAACAAAUUAUAUGGCCAAUUGCUUUUUGAUGAAGAAACCAAGUUAUCUUACUUCAUCCCCUACUGGGAAAACAUGAACUUUGACAUCUAACAUGAUUCACCAAAAUUAACUCAAAAUGUAUCCUACACCUAAAUAUAAAAACUAAGAUGAUAAAAUUGAAAAAGAAGACAGGAGAAAAAUCACCUGUGACUUUGGAUAGACAAAGGCUUCUUAGAUACACAGUCUGUGGUGACCUCUGGUUGUAAUGCACUUCUUGAUUACUCCCAGGUUCUGCCUUCCAGAGGUUUCAUUGCUUUCCAAUAGUGCCUAAGCUGAAACCAGGUCUACAACAUAUGAGACUUUGGGAUACUCUGAGGAUCCAAAUGAUAACACCUG
Long non-coding RNA from Grammomys surdaster, 638 nucleotides. RefSeq lists it as uncharacterized. Lineage: Eukaryota; Metazoa; Chordata; Mammalia; Rodentia; Muridae. The transcript is spliced from 3 exons. The record is from RefSeq and is a predicted model, not a curated record.